This 30-nucleotide non-coding RNA is filed under the name Rattus norvegicus (Norway rat). The record is from RNAcentral. Lineage: Eukaryota; Metazoa; Chordata; Mammalia; Rodentia; Muridae.
UAGAUGUGGUCAUCGUAUACUACCCUGAAA